Molecule: non-coding RNA, 184 nt
Filed under: Perkinsus marinus ATCC 50983
Lineage: Eukaryota; Perkinsozoa; Perkinsida; Perkinsidae
Description: Eukaryotic small subunit ribosomal RNA
Rfam family: Eukaryotic small subunit ribosomal RNA
Source: Rfam by way of RNAcentral
CACCUGGUUGAUCCUGCCAGUAGUCAUAUGCUUGUCUCAAAGAUUAAGCCAUGCAUGUCUAAGUAUAAGCUUUAAACGGCGAAACUGCGAAUGGCUCAUUAAAACAGUUAUAGUUUAUUUGGUGAUCGAUUACUAUUUGGAUACCGUAGUAAUUCUAGAGCUAUACAUGCGUCAGGCCCGACUU